UACAGAGGGGGCAAGCGUUGUUCGGAAUUACUGGGCGUAAAGGGCGCGUAGGCGGCCUUCUAAGUCGAACGUGAAAUCCCCGGGCUCAACCCGGGAACUGCGUCCGAGACUGAAAGGCUUGAAUCCGGGAGAGGGAUGUGGAAUUCCAGGUGUAGCGGUGAAAUGCGUAGAUAUCAGGAGGAACACCGGUGGCGAAGGCGGUUCUCUGGGCAUUACCUGACGCUGAGGAGCGAAAGUGUGGGGAGCGAACAGG
Molecule: ribosomal RNA, 253 nt
Filed under: uncultured bacterium
Lineage: Bacteria
Description: partial 16S ribosomal RNA
Rfam family: Bacterial small subunit ribosomal RNA
Source: RNAcentral